GAUGAACGCUGGCGGCGUGCCUAAUACAUGCAAGUCGAGCGAACGGACGAGAAGCUUGCUUCUCUGAUGUUAGCGGCGGACGGGUGAGUAACACGUGGAUAACCUACCUAUAAGACUGGGAUAACUUCGGGAAACCGGAGCUAAUAACGGAUAAUAUUUUGAACCGCAUGGUUCAAAAGUGAAAGACGGUCUUGCUGUCACUUAUAGAUGGAUCCGCGCUGCAUUAGCUAGUUGGUAAGGUAACGGCUUACCAAGGCGACGAUGCAUAGCUGACCUGAGAGGAUGAGCAGACACACUGGAACUGAGACACGGUCCAGACUCCUACGGGAGGCAGCAGUGGGGAAUAUUGGACAAUGGGCGCAAGCCUGAUCCAGCCAUACCGCGUGGGUGAAAAAGGCCUUCGGGUUGUAAAGCCCUUUUGUUGGGAAAGAAAAGCAGCAGGUUAAUACCCCGCUGCUCUGACGGUACCCAAAGAAUAAGCACCGGCUAACUUCGUG
RNAcentral lists this ribosomal RNA (497 nucleotides) under uncultured bacterium. Its description in RNAcentral is "partial 16S ribosomal RNA". It matches the Rfam family "Bacterial small subunit ribosomal RNA", at positions 28 to 507 of the family's 1533-position model. The record is from RNAcentral.